GAUGAACGCUGGCGGCGUGCCUAAUACAUGCAAGUCGAGCGAACAGACGAGGCGCUUGCUCCUCUGACGUUAGCGGCGGACGGGUGAGUAACACGUGGAUAACCUACCUAUCAUACUGGUAUAACUUCGGAAAUCCGGAUCUAAUACCGGAUAAUAUAUUGAUCCACAGUGGUCAAUAGAGAAAUACGGCGUUUCUGGCUCUUAUAGCUGGUUCCGCGCCGCUUUAGCUAGUUGGUACGGUACAGGCUUAUCAAGGCUACCAUGCGUAGCCGACCGGAGAGGGGGAUCGGCCACACUGGAACGGGGACACGGUCCAGACUCCUACGGGAGGCAGCAGUAGGGAAUCGUACGCAAUGGGCGGAAGCAUGACGGAGCAGCGCCGCGUGAGUGAUGGAGGUCUUCGGAGCGUAAAACUCUGUUAUUAGGGGAGAACAAAUGUGUAAGUAACUAUGGACGUCUUGACGGUACCUAAUCAGAAAGCCACGGCUAACUACGUG
Molecule: ribosomal RNA, 497 nt
Filed under: uncultured bacterium
Lineage: Bacteria
Description: partial 16S ribosomal RNA
Rfam family: Bacterial small subunit ribosomal RNA
Source: RNAcentral